RNAcentral lists this ribosomal RNA (490 nucleotides) under uncultured bacterium. Its description in RNAcentral is "partial 16S ribosomal RNA". It matches the Rfam family "Bacterial small subunit ribosomal RNA", at positions 30 to 507 of the family's 1533-position model. The record is from RNAcentral.
AUUGAACGCUGGCGGCAGGCCUAACACAUGCAAGUCGAACGGUAACAGGAAGAAGCUUGCUUCUUUGCUGACGAGUGGCGGACGGGUGAGUAAUGUCUGGGAAACUGCCUGAUGGAGGGGGAUAACUACUGGAAACGGUAGCUAAUACCGCAUAACGUCGCAAGACCAAAGAGGGGGACCUUCGGGCCUCUUGCCAUCGGCUGUGCCCAGAUGGGAUUAGCUAGUAGGUGGGGUAACGGCUCACCUAGGCGACGAGCCCUAGCUGGUCUGAGAGGAUGACCACCCCCGCUAGGACGGUAGCAAGGUCCCGACUCCUGCCGGGAGCGGCCGUGGGGAAGAUUGGACCAUGGGCGCAAGCCUGAUGCAGCCAUGCCGCGUGUAUGAAGAAGGCCUUCGGGUUGUAAAGUACUUUCAGCGGGGAGGAAGGGAGUAAAGUUAAUACCUUGACUCAUUGACGUUACCCGCAGAGGAAGCACCGGCUAACUCCGUG